Molecule: transfer RNA, 73 nt
Filed under: Felis catus (domestic cat)
Lineage: Eukaryota; Metazoa; Chordata; Mammalia; Carnivora; Felidae
Rfam family: tRNA
About the family: Transfer RNA (tRNA) molecules are approximately 80 nucleotides in length. Their secondary structure includes four short double-helical elements and three loops (D, anti-codon, and T loops).
Source: Rfam by way of RNAcentral
ACCUGGCUGGCUCAGUUGGUGGAGCAUGCAACUUUUGAUCGUGGGGUUGUGGGUCUGAGCCCCACAUUGGGUA